Long non-coding RNA from Apis laboriosa (Himalayan honeybee), 485 nucleotides. RefSeq lists it as uncharacterized. The record is from RefSeq and is a predicted model, not a curated record. The transcript is spliced from 3 exons. Lineage: Eukaryota; Metazoa; Arthropoda; Insecta; Hymenoptera; Apidae.
GCUUGCCCCUCUCUGCGAAUAUUCUUUGCAUCUAACUUUACUAUUAGUCUUUGUUUAGUUAUAAACGGGGCAAGAACCGAUGUUAAUCUUUUUUGCAAAUUGAUCAGUAAGAUCUGGCAGCUGAAUAACGAUGAUGAAAAAAAGUGUUAAUGGUAGUGAUGCGGGAAUGAACAUACUUGAAUGGAGAAUUGGAUAGAAUUGAUUCUGUUGCAAUAACAGAUACCAGUUAGAAGAUCCCAGACGCAUAAAAGACCAUCUUGAGAUCCACUACCAGAAGUCAUAGGACUCAUUCUAUCAAUGAAUAAACAAGAUAUAGGACCACAAUGACCAUGAAGAGUAUACAAUGAGUAUGAUCUUGACUACCAGUUAAAACACGACCACCCUCACUAUCGAGUACAGUUAUUGCCUGUUGAUGUGCUUUAUGAGAACCAAUUUUCAUACAACGAAGAUCUUCUUCAGAUUGUAUAAUGUUAUUUAUAUCCAUA